Molecule: long non-coding RNA, 627 nt
Organism: Astyanax mexicanus (Mexican tetra)
Lineage: Eukaryota; Metazoa; Chordata; Actinopteri; Characiformes; Acestrorhamphidae
Exons: 3
Source: RefSeq, a predicted model, not a curated record
UGGUAGAAGAUUACGUCAGCUGAAACAAAUUCGGAAAGGACUAAAGGAAACCAAGGUGUGGUCACUUUUGAUUGAAAGGAAAGAUGUGCAGAUCUUUUCAAAGGAAAGUGAAUAUUCACUUACGCCACAGAUACUGCUCCCAUACAUACGCUGGCCCACUGAAAACAGUGCAGAUGAAGACGAUGAUGAUGACUGUCCACUGGAAAAAAGUGUCGCAUCUCAGGAUAUUUUUGGCAGUUCAUUGAGACUGCAUCCAGCCCUCACCUUAAAGAGUUGGUGAAGUUUUGGAUAGGGUGGGAAGUGCCCAGCGGAGACAUGGCAGUGGAAAUCAUCAAUGGCCUACUGCCUAAGUCUUCCAUCUGCUUCUGCACACUACGCUUACCAGGUCACUACACCAGUUACAGCCACUUCCAGGAAGACCUGUUGAGCUGUAUUGGCACCUCAGAUUUUGGUUUUGGGAUUAUUUAGCUGCACGUUUUAGUUUAGCAUAGGCAAGCCUCUUAAUGUGUGCUAUGGCUUGAAAAUCAAGUUCAGUUAAAUGUAUACACCAUGUUUGAGUUAUCAAGUUAGAUAAACCUGUUUUAAGUAUAAAGUUAACAUACAGGUGCUGGUCAUAAAAUUAGAAUA